GGCGGACGGGUGAGUAAUAUAUAGGUAAUGUGCCCUAGAGAAGAGGAUAACAGUUGGAAACGACUGCUAAUACUCUAUAUGCCUUUAAGACAAAAGUCUGCAAGGGAAAUAUUUAUAGCUCUAGGAUCGGCCUGUACGGUAUCAGCUAGUUGGUGAGGUAAUGGCUCACCAAGGCAAUGACGCCUAACUGGUUUGAGAGGAUGAUCAGUCACACUGGAACUGAGACACGGUCCAGACUCCUACGGGAGGCAGCAGUGGGGAAUAUUGCACAAUGGGGGAAACCCUGAUGCAGCAACGCCGCGUGGAGGAUGACACAUUUCGGUGCGUAAACUCCUUUUAUAUAGGAAGAUAAUGACGGUACUAUAUGAAUAAGCGCCGGCUAACUCCGUGCCAGCAGCCGCGGUAAUACGGAGGGCGCAAGCGUUACUCGGAAUCACUGGGCGUAAAGAGCGUGUAGGCGGGUUAAUAAGUUUGAAGUGAAAUCCUAUGGCUCAACCAUAGAACUGCUUUGAAAACUGUUAACCUAGAAUAUGGGAGAGGUAGAUGGAAUUUCUGGUGUAGGGGUAAAAUCCGUAGAGAUCAGAAGGAAUACCGAUUGCGAAGGCGAUCUACUGGAACAUUAUUGACGCUGAGACGCGAAAGCGUGGGGAGCAAACAGGAUUAGAUACCCUGGUAGUCCACGCCCUAAACGAUGUACACUAGUUGUUGUGAGGCUAGACCUUGCAGUAAUGCAGUAAACACAUUAAGUGUACCG
RNAcentral lists this ribosomal RNA (754 nucleotides) under uncultured Arcobacter sp. RNAcentral describes it as "bacterial SSU rRNA". It matches the Rfam family "Bacterial small subunit ribosomal RNA", at positions 97 to 871 of the family's 1533-position model. The record is from RNAcentral. Lineage: Bacteria; Pseudomonadati; Campylobacterota; Epsilonproteobacteria; Campylobacterales; Arcobacteraceae.